AUAAAUAAUUCUAAAAAUUUAAAAAGGAGAGUACUUGGCACAUUGUAAGUUAUCAAUGGCACAUCCUCUAUCUGAGAACAAUACAAUAAAUGCUUUUUUGGGACUAGGAGUUGGAAUAGGAGCUUGCUCCAUCCACUGCAUGCAUCGAUCUAGCAUUACAGUACCUCCAGGAACAGUGCACCCCUU
Molecule: small nuclear RNA, 186 nt
Filed under: Ochotona princeps (American pika)
Lineage: Eukaryota; Metazoa; Chordata; Mammalia; Lagomorpha; Ochotonidae
Description: U2 spliceosomal RNA (ENSOPRG00000023859.1)
Rfam family: U2 spliceosomal RNA (bases 61-186)
About the family: U2 is a small nuclear RNA (snRNA) component of the spliceosome (involved in pre-mRNA splicing).
Source: RNAcentral